Molecule: ribosomal RNA, 380 nt
Filed under: uncultured Anoxybacillus sp.
Lineage: Bacteria; Bacillati; Bacillota; Bacilli; Caryophanales; Anoxybacillaceae
Description: bacterial SSU rRNA
Rfam family: Bacterial small subunit ribosomal RNA
Source: RNAcentral
UCGGGCGGUUCCCCCUUCGGGGGGACAGGGUGACAGGUGGUGCAUGGUUGUCGUCAGCUCGUGUCGUGAGAUGUUGGGUUAAGUCCCGCAACGAGCGCAACCCUCGACCUUAGUUGCCAGCAUUCAGUUGGGCACUCUAAGGUGACUGCCGGCUAAAAGUCGGAGGAAGGUGGGGAUGACGUCAAAUCAUCAUGCCCCUUAUGACCUGGGCUACACACGUGCUACAAUGGGCGGUACAAAGGGUCGCGAACCCGCGAGGGGGGAGCCAAUCCCAAAAAGCCGCUCUCAGUUCGGAUUGCAGGCUGCAACUCGACUGCGUGAAGUCGGAAUCGCUAGUAAUCGUGAAUCAGAAUGUCACGGUGAAUACGUUCCCGGGCCUU